AGAGUGAACGCUGGCGGUAGGCCUAACACAUGCAAGUCGAACGGCAGCACAGUAGGAGCUUGCUCUUACGGGUGGCGAGUGGCGGACGGGUGAGGAAUACAUCGGAAUCUACCUUUUGGUGGGGGAUAACGUAGGGAAACUUACGCUAAUACCGCAUACGCCCUUCGGGGGAAAGCCGGGGACCAGCAAUGGCCUGGUGCUGAUAGAUGAGCCGAUGUCGGAUUAGCUAGUUGGUGAGGUAAUGGCUCACCAAGGCGACGAUCUGUAGCUGGUCUGAGAGGAUGAUCAGCCACACUGGAACUGAGACACGGUCCAGACUCCUACGGGAGCAGCAGUGGGGAAUA
Molecule: ribosomal RNA, 344 nt
Filed under: uncultured soil bacterium
Lineage: Bacteria
Description: bacterial SSU rRNA
Rfam family: Bacterial small subunit ribosomal RNA
Source: RNAcentral